GUAUAAGCCUCUCUAAUCUCGUAUCGCCCCAGACGUAGCAUCUAUAAUUGGCGAAUGAAAACAUGCAGCUGCCCCCAGAGGAGGAUGACCAACCAGCUAAUCAGAAGCUACUCAUAUCGUCACCGCUAUGGAGGACCGAUACUGAGUCUGUGACAACCCUUCGUCGCCGCCGAGCAAAUAAUUGUAGAAGAUCAUAAUCAGCUAUCGUUAGAGAAUGUGCGCGUAUCGUACGCCGCCUCUAUCACAACGGCAUCUGCUUCUACAGUUUUUUUCGAGUGAUCGCUUUCCGUGCAGCAUUAGCUUCCUCAAAAACAACCUUCUCCAAAGGGGUGGGCGUUUUCCGUUGAUCUUGUUUUGCUCUGCUUUUAUCAAAACAUGUCGUUUCAGAUAAUCUUUGUUCUUAUUUCUGCUCUACGUCAUACAGUCGGAAUAAGGAGUGAAAGCGGCUCCUGGUGAGAUAGGAGGGGUACAAAACCCGCUAUUUUAGCGUCAUUUUUGCCCUGAUCCCUUCUCGCGAGCUUCUCUAGUUGGCUUCAAUUCUUACUAUCCCAUCGUCGAUACUCGUUUUCUGAGAAAAUUCUUAGGAUGUACCGCGUGGCCUAUCGUUGCCGCCGGAGAGACAUCGCUUAUCGAAUCACCUUAUGUGCGUCCAUGAAGCAACCAGAUAUGUCUGCAACAGCUGCUUCGAAAUCGUUCGAGACGAAAAUCAGCAGUGGCGAACCGUGUGGUGACCUAGCGGCUGCCAGCAGCAUUAGUAUGUAAAGACGCUCCGGAAGGAAGCUGUUGGCCGUCCAGGCGAACGCGCAUUGUGUUACCACUGGACAUACCAAUGCCAUGAAGCCAAAAAAAAAGUCCAUAAUUCACUGCGGGUGCCGCUUCCAACAUUACUAUCGCUAGCGAACACCGCACCGAGUAACGAAUCCUCAUUUUGUAGAACAUUAAAUCAUUUUAUCGGUGAAAUAGAGAACGGCAUCAGAUUCAGGCUGCAAUGAAGUGUUACGCUGAGUUAGCACUGAAAGAAAUGCUAGUUACUAGA
Molecule: long non-coding RNA, 1036 nt
Organism: Varroa destructor (honeybee mite)
Lineage: Eukaryota; Metazoa; Arthropoda; Arachnida; Mesostigmata; Varroidae
Source: RefSeq, a predicted model, not a curated record